RNAcentral lists this transfer RNA (72 nucleotides) under Canis lupus familiaris (dog). It matches the Rfam family "tRNA". From Rfam's summary of the family: Transfer RNA (tRNA) molecules are approximately 80 nucleotides in length. Lineage: Eukaryota; Metazoa; Chordata; Mammalia; Carnivora; Canidae. RNAcentral also lists the same sequence under 2 other names. The record is from Rfam by way of RNAcentral.
GCCUGAGUGGCUCAGUGGUUGAGCAUCUGCCUUCGACUCAGGGAGUACUGGGAUCGAGUCCCACAUCAGGUU